AACGAACGCUGGCGGCGCGCCUAACACAUGCAAGUCGAGCGCAUCCCUUUCGGGGGGUGAGCGGCGCACGGGUGAGUAAUGCGUGGGAACCUACCUCGGGGUUCGGGACAACGGCGGGAAACCGCCGCUAACACCGGGAUACGGCCGGCAGCGAUGCCGGCGAAAGGUCACGCCCUUUGAUGGGCCCACGUCCGAUUAGCUGGUGGUGGGGUAACGCUCACCAAGGCUGCGAUCGGUAGCCGGUCNGAGAGGAUGAUCGGCCACACUGGGACUGAGACACGGCCCAGACUCCUACGGGA
This 299-nucleotide ribosomal RNA is filed under the name uncultured bacterium. Its description in RNAcentral is "partial 16S ribosomal RNA". It matches the Rfam family "Bacterial small subunit ribosomal RNA", at positions 28 to 346 of the family's 1533-position model. The record is from RNAcentral.